Molecule: ribosomal RNA, 468 nt
Filed under: uncultured bacterium
Lineage: Bacteria
Description: partial 16S ribosomal RNA
Rfam family: Bacterial small subunit ribosomal RNA
Source: RNAcentral
GACGAACGCUGGCGGCGUGCUUAACACAUGCCAGUCGAACGGAAAGGCCCUGCUUUUGUGGGGUGCUCGAGUGGCGAACGGGUGAGUAACACGUGAGUAACCUGCCCUUGACUUUGGGAUAACUUCAGGAAACUGGGGCUAAUACCGGAUAGGAGCUCCUGCUGCAUGGUGGGGGUUGGAAAGUUUCGGCGGUUGGGGAUGGACUCGCGGCUUAUCAGCUUGUUGGUGGGGUAGUGGCUUACCAAGGCUUUGACGGGUAGCCGGCCUGAGAGGGUGACCGGCCACAUUGGGACUGAGACACGGCCCAGACUCCUACGGGAGGCAGCAGUGGGGAAUAUUGCACAAUGGGCGCAAGCCUGAUGCAGCGACGCCGCGUGAGGGAUGACGGCCUUCGGGUUGUAAACCGCUUUCGGCAGGGACGAAGCGAGAGUGACGGUAAUGGGUAAAGAAGCACCGGCUAACUACGUG